UCUCAGAUGUACUAGCAAGUGCAUCAAAGAUGCAGUCAUCGAUUCGCCCGAGAGGCCACAAUUACCGCGAGC
Molecule: transfer RNA, 72 nt
Filed under: Prunus dulcis (almond)
Lineage: Eukaryota; Viridiplantae; Streptophyta; Magnoliopsida; Rosales; Rosaceae
Description: tRNA-Asn
Source: RNAcentral